This 490-nucleotide ribosomal RNA is filed under the name uncultured Verrucomicrobiales bacterium. Its description in RNAcentral is "bacterial SSU rRNA". It matches the Rfam family "Bacterial small subunit ribosomal RNA", at positions 36 to 509 of the family's 1533-position model. Lineage: Bacteria; Pseudomonadati; Verrucomicrobiota; Verrucomicrobiia; Verrucomicrobiales. The record is from RNAcentral.
CUGGCGGCGUGGAUAAGACAUGCAAGUCGAGCGAUCAACGAUCAUCAGGUAACUGAUGGUAAGAGAUAGCGGCGAACGGGUGAGUAACACGUAGGAAUCUGCCCCAAAGUUCGGAAUAGCCCGGUGAAAGCCGGGGUAAUACUGGAUGUGAUCUUAGGAUUAAAGGCUUUCGGGUCGCUUUGGGAUGAGCCUGCGUUCCAUCAGCUUGUUGGUAGGGUAAAAGCCUACCAAGGCUAAGACGGAUAGCUGGUCUGAGAGGACGGUCAGCCACAAUGGAACUGAGACACGGUCCAUACACCUACGGGUGGCAGCAGUCGAGAAUCAUUCACAAUGGACGAAAGUCUGAUGGUGCGACGCCGCGUGGGGGAUGAAGGCCUUAGGGUCGUAAACCCCUGUCGGGUGCGAGUAAGCUCUGCUUCGGUAGAGACCUUGGCAAUGUGUCCAGGGGUUUGAUAUUAGCACCAAAGGAAGGGACGGCUAACUCCGUGCC